This 68-nucleotide transfer RNA is filed under the name Tupaia minor. Its description in RNAcentral is "tRNA-Trp". Lineage: Eukaryota; Metazoa; Chordata; Mammalia; Scandentia; Tupaiidae. The record is from RNAcentral.
AGGAAUUUAGGUUAAAUGAGACCGGAAGCCUUCAAAGCUUCAAGUAAGUCCCCAUUACUUAAUUCCUG